GCCCUUUUAGCACAGUGGUAGUGCGCGUCACUCGUACCAUUCGAAAAUGACGAGGUCCUCGGUUCAAUCCCGAGAGGGGGCA
Non-coding RNA from Talaromyces proteolyticus, 82 nucleotides. The record is from the annotation of a RefSeq genome assembly. NCBI's taxonomy places the organism in Eukaryota, Fungi, Ascomycota, Eurotiomycetes, Eurotiales, Trichocomaceae.